CACUCCUGCGGGAGGCAGCAGUGGGGAAUAUUGGACAAUGGGCGCAAGCCUGAUCCAGCCAUGCCGCGUGAGUGAUGAAGGCCCUAGGGUUGUAAAGCUCUUUCACCGGUGAAGAUAAUGACGGUAACCGGAGAAGAAGCCCCGGCUAACUUCGUGCCAGCAGCCGCGGUAAUACGAAGGGGGCUAGCGUUGUUCGGAUUUACUGGGCGUAAAGCGCACGUAGGCGGACUAUUAAGUCAGGGGUGAAAUCCCGGGGCUCAACCCCGGAACUGCCUUUGAUACUGGUAGUCUUGAGUUCGAGAGAGGUGAGUGGAAUUCCGAGUGUAGAGGUGAAAUUCGUAGAUAUUCGGAGGAACACCAGUGGCGAAGGCGGCUCACUGGCUCGAUACUGACGCUGAGGUGCGAAAGCGUGGGGAGCAAACAGGAUUAGAAACCCUGGUAGUCCCAU
RNAcentral lists this ribosomal RNA (448 nucleotides) under uncultured organism. RNAcentral's name for it is "partial 16S ribosomal RNA". It matches the Rfam family "Bacterial small subunit ribosomal RNA", at positions 334 to 798 of the family's 1533-position model. The record is from RNAcentral.